This 301-nucleotide ribosomal RNA is filed under the name uncultured bacterium. Its description in RNAcentral is "partial 16S ribosomal RNA". It matches the Rfam family "Bacterial small subunit ribosomal RNA", at positions 509 to 807 of the family's 1533-position model. The record is from RNAcentral.
CAGUCGCCGCGGUAAUACGUAGGGGGCAAGCGUUAUCCGGAUUUACUGGGUGUAAAGGGAGCGCAGACGGCUCUGCAAGUCUGAAGUGAAAGCCCGCGGCUUAACCGCGGGACUGCUUUGGAAACUGCAAGGCUUGAGUAUCGGAGGGGCAGGCGGAAUUCCUAGUGUAGCGGUGAAAUGCGUAGAUAUUAGGAAGAACACCGGUGGCGAAGGCGGCCUGCUGGACGAAAACUGACGUUGAGGCUCGGAGGCGUGGGGAGCAAACAGGAUUAGAUACCCCAGUAGUCCCUGUCUCUUAUAC